Molecule: long non-coding RNA, 1201 nt
Organism: Heterocephalus glaber (naked mole-rat)
Lineage: Eukaryota; Metazoa; Chordata; Mammalia; Rodentia; Bathyergidae
Source: Ensembl
CAACAACAAAAAAAAUGUAUUUGUAGAUUGUGAUAAAGUGUAAAUAACUGAAUUUUCAACCAUGGUUUGAAGUCAGCUUUCAGGGCAUUAUGUCUUGUUUUGAUGAAAAGAGAUCACUCUAUACCCCCCUUUUUAAAGGAAAAUUAUCGCAAGAGAAUCAGGAUGUGUAAAGCUAACAUGCAUCGCAAAAAACCAAAGGUGACUGAAAACUCCUAAGACAUUUCCUGGACUAGAAUGGGUAGUGAAGACCCAUGUCAGCUGUCCGAAGAGUCUAGAAACCAGGAGAGCUACCUGCUAUAAACAGCCAUCCUGGAGGCAUUUGCUGAGCACGGAGAAACCCGGGAGAGAUCAACAGUUCUGUUUCACACACACACACCCACCCCUUGAUCUAUCCGAUUUACCUACAGAGAGCCAGCCAGAAUCAUCUUCUAAGAAUCUUUGGGCCCAGAACAGAGACCUUAAGGGUCAGAGGACUGUGAUGCUUAACAUUUAAACUUGCUCAAGACUUUAGAGUUGAAAGGGAUUAACAGUAUCCCUAGCAUGACCUUCUAGAUCAGAAUAGACUGGCAACUUUUAUACAUGACAUUCCCAUGCUGUCUUUCCCUUCAGCCUCCUGCAAAAUUUGCUGAACACUCUACCACCACCUCCUUUUCCUCCCUGCUACACCUGUGUUGUGGGUGUUAGCCUGGCCGCCCUUGGUCUCUUCCAGAGAGAGAAUAGUCACUUCCUCUUGUAACAAGCUAAGGAAAACUAAGUGAGAAGGUUCAUUUACUUUGGGUAAGCAAUUUAACCUCUGAGCCUAUUUUUCUUUUCAUUGUUCAUUACUUGUCCAAAAAGCUCCUAUAAGACAGGGGUUUUUUCUACUUCAUUUCUGUACCAUGUUCCUUCCCAACAAGUAUCUGACCCCAAGGAGCUCAAUAAAGGUUUGGUCAAGUGAUGAGUGGUCUCCCUCUGGUAGCUUCUAUCAACUUUGGGAAAGAACCAAAGCCCUCUAUCUAGCUUUCUUUCCCUCUAGCUAUACUAGGCCAGCUGUUUGUCCUCACAUUUUCUCCUGAAGGAUUGAUUGGCAAGUCCAUGUUUGAUAGAUUCUGGAUUUCUACAGCCUGUGCCUAGCUGAUUUACACUAUUUUCUGAGAGGUUAGGGACUUCCAAUACUGUGCUCUUCCCUAAUGCCUUUGGGUUAUUUAUACAAAUGAUUUAC